Molecule: transfer RNA, 76 nt
Filed under: Povalibacter uvarum
Lineage: Bacteria; Pseudomonadati; Pseudomonadota; Gammaproteobacteria; Steroidobacterales; Steroidobacteraceae
Also listed under: 27 other names
Description: tRNA-Ala
Rfam family: tRNA
About the family: Transfer RNA (tRNA) molecules are approximately 80 nucleotides in length. Their secondary structure includes four short double-helical elements and three loops (D, anti-codon, and T loops).
Source: RNAcentral
GGGGCUAUAGCUCAGCUGGGAGAGCGCUUGCAUGGCAUGCAAGAGGUCGCCGGUUCGAUCCCGGCUAGCUCCACCA